AGUUAGUGUUUCAGCAGUCGAAGGAGAUGGGAAAGUUGUAAAACAACUAAACUAAGGAUAUUGCAAACUAAAUUUCGGCUCAACUCUGGUUUUACGUUUUUUAGAGACUUCUCGAAGACUUCAUCAAUCAUCUGCUUGUUUGCAUGAAAAGAUAAAGAGUAAUUGAUAGAAUAUUGAAGACACUACAGGAACCUCUAACGCGCGUUUACACGUGAGAUCAUCAAUUUGAUUAUUGUAGACGUAAAUAAUUGUAAUCUAAACACAUAUCGCCCGUGCAUGAUAAUAUGCUUAGAUAUGUGUAGUGUUACAUUCCCAUUUAAUAUUCUUUUAUUUCAUCAGCUGGGAAUGCUUUGUUUCGCUGGGAUUAACUUUCUAUUUUAAUUGUCAUUCAAGGAUAUAAAAAGGUUGCUAACCUGGUAUUAAGGUAAGUAAUCGUAAGAGAAUGCAUUUGUUAUUAUUACAAAUAUAACGCAUCUUUUUGUUAUACAGUGCAUGCGGAAAUACAAUUGUUUUGAUUGGAACAUUUUUAGAAAAUCAUAAGAUUGUUAUAAUAAUAUGUAAAUAUAGAAUCAUUUCAAUUCUUUAAAACACAAUCUUAAUACAAGAAACCAAAUCUGUUAAACGUUUGCUUUAUUUUCUCAAGUGUUCAGACUUGUUUGGUUUUAAUGUUACAAUCCUGAAAGGAUCAUUAUUUAUUUUAUAUUUUUUGAAAACAAAACAAAUUUUACUGCACUCAACACUGUUUCUUUAGUAAUAAAAGAUGAAUUAGGAAAGAGUUAUGUAAAUUUCAACGAGACAGCAAACCAAUGAAACGAACUACCAAACAUGAAAAGGACCAACUUAUUAAGGUACAUUUGUCCUAUGCAUAGCUCACACUAUAUAAUCAACAUAUUAUUCUGUAAAAAGCCAUAGUUACUGAACAUAAGCUCAAAGUAUUUAACCUGCUGAUUUGAAACCAUGCCCUCCUAUACCAAAAUAUGUUGCUGUGCGUCAUAGAAGAUUUCAUGCAGCAAAGAUAUUCAAGUACUCAGAAAUCCCUUUAUAAUUCUGAUAUUAUGAUAAAACAUGGAAAUUCAACUGUAAAGAAGUAUUAAAAAAGUAAAUAUAAAUGACAUGAACUUGCGUGGCAUUUUUUAAGCUUUUAAUUUUCAAAUAUUUUGGAUUGAGAGACAUUUAUUGUCGAAAUGCGCAUCUGUUGUUGAAAAUUGGUACUGUCAAUAUGUUAUUGGGUCGUCUCUGAAUCUGUGUAUCUAAAUUAUUGUUUUACUCUAGUGUGUGUGUGCACAUUGUAUCAUUGAUCUAUAAACACAGUUUUUCGCUUUAUAUAUACAUUUGAACGAGCUCGAGAGGAGUUAACAAUCUUAAAAGAAUAACGAACAUGUACCACAUCUUCUUAUUUAUAUUUAGAUUUGGGAUUCUAUAUGUUAUUCAGGUCUCAGACAGGGUAAAUACUGUGACAUUCCCGACUUAAGAGUUUAAAUCCCCUGAGCAAUUGAGGAUAAACACGUCGUAUAUAUAUAUAUUCAUCUGUAGUUUCCUGAAUAUAUACUGACAUCUCUGUGUUGUUAUCCAAUCACAAACCUCGACAAAUUUGUAAUCCGUAAUAUAUAUGUAUGUAUAGCUGUUCGAAAAAAAGAAAAAAAAAAACGAAAUAUAGGAAUGGAUAGAUAUAUCUAUUAUAAAGGGUCAACCUACUACCUUCAACAAUAAACAAGUUUAUUUAUGUAUUAUUGUCAUUUUGUUUAUUUUCUUUUGUUUCAUAUUCUGACAUCGGACUUCUCUUAAACUGAGUUUUACUGUGCGUUUUGUUGUGCGUUUGUUUUUCUACAUGGCCUAGAGGUAUAGGGGGAGGGUUGAGAUCUGAAAAAAAAAACAUGUUUAACCCCUCCGCAAUUUUGCACCUGUCCCAAGUCAGAAACCUCUGGCCUUUGUUGGUCUGGUAUUAUUUUUAAUUUUAGUUUCUUGUGUAUAAUUCGGAGUUUAGUGUCCAUUAUCACAGAACUAGUAUGCAUAUUUGUUUAGGGGCCAGCUGAAGGACGCCUCCGGGUGAGGGAGUUUCUCGCUACAUUGAAGACCCAUUAGUGGCUGCGGCUGUUGUCUGCUCUAUGGUCGGGUUGUUGUCGCUUUGACACAUUCCCCAUUGCCAUUUUAAAUUGUAUUCUAUACUCUUCGUCAAGCUCUAAAUCUCCCGAGACAAACAUAUAGUUGUCAAUGGAUUUGAUAGAGACAUCAGCUGAGCUGUUAUAAUCACAAGAUGCAUUAGAAGAAAAAUCAAGGAAAUGUAAAAAAAAAAAAACAACAAACAAAAAAACAUAGCCAUGAAAACACAAAUAAAUUCAACUAUAAUAGACGACAAGUGAAAAAUUCCUAGCUACAGCCAGGAACAUUAACAUACUGCAGAAUGAAAUACAUUUUGUAAUUCAGUUAUUUUGAGCAAGAUUCUAUCCUUUCAUCAACUGAAAUUAAAAUAUCAAGGUUGAUAAAGAAAAUUCUAUACAUCAUCAAGAAUGUCUGAUUAUAGCUGCUUUCAUUACAUGAACCGUAUAGAUUGCAUAAUAGAGGGUGUGGGUUGGAAUGACUGAAUAGAGCAUAAUGGGAAAAAGUGUAGUAUAUAGGGAGAGAAAUAUAUUGAAUUGAAGAACAUAUGCCAAAAUUAAAAAAAAGUAAGAAGAAUAAUAGGCGUAGAAAUACAAAGGAAACAGAAUAAGGGUAAAAAAAAGUUAAAAAGUUGAAGAAUAAAUAUAAGUAUUAAGGACUUCCCCAUGCAGACCUUCAAAGUACUGUGUACAUGUAACUAAGUAUAUCAUUAUAAGCUGUCUCAUAAUGUAACUCUCUAUAUUGUCUAGCUUAAGUUGUGGUUAUUUUUACCAUUUGAUCGAUGCAUCCCAAAUUAAAGUUCGAAAAAAAUACUUGGACUAGGACAGUUUUUUUCUCUCGGUAACAAUGAACCGAAAUAAAAGUGUAGUACUGGAAUGUUUUUUGAAACGCAACGGUUUUAAUGAACGGACAUUUAUAAGCGAUAAAAGACAACACUAACGAUUAAUGCAACAUGUGCAAUUAACAAGUAAAAUAUAGAACAAAUAAUACUUAAUAUUUUUCAUGUAACCAAGGAAACAGUGAACAAAUUAAUGAGAGAUAAAAAAUGAACGUUUCAAGCAUGCUUCAUAGAGUUAUAAUUAUUUAUUAACCAACUAAGUACACUAUUGCCAAAAAUGACAAAAAAAAAUUAUAUAUUUUCUGUAAUGGCCCUGUUUUUUCUGUAAUGGCCCUGUUUUUCUGUAAUGACCCUGUUUUUUUCUGUAAUGGUCCUGUUUUUCUGUAAUGGUCCUGUUUUUCUGUAAUGGCCCUAUAUGAAUGCCCAGUUUGUCUGUAUUAAACCCAGUUAGCGUUUUUAAUAAAGUUAAGAAAAUUGAGUUGUAAAGAGUAUAAUACCUUUUUGUAUUUUAUUUAAUUUAGUAACACUCAACCAACAUUAAAGAACCAUAUAAAGGGAACACUGUUCAUCCUGUUUUUCAACACAUAACUUCUUUCAACUUAAUAUCUUGGAUAUUUGGUAUAUUUAAAGCUUUAUCAUGGUGAAGUACAAAUUAUUUUUUUUCAAAACUAAACUGUCAUUAAAAGACAAGUUGGCAGCAACACAUACACUUUUGUUCAGUUGGUUAAUAAAUGUAUUGAAAAAUGGGUGUUUUUAUAAUGGCCCUGUUAUAUGUCCUCGGUCAGUAAUAAUGGCCUCGGAUGUCUGUAAUGACCCUUAGCGUUGCCUCGGGCCAUUACAGACUUCCUCGACCAUUAUUACAGACCUUAGUACUAUAGUAUUAAAUCGAUAAAGAUAGUACGAAUUAUACAAAAAGCAUGCACUAAACAUGCUUGUAUUUUUCAGUGUAAAUUCAUGAGCAGAACAGGGAAACACUGAAAAAUUGACAAACAUAUAUAGGUAAACAAUAUACUAGUAUCACAUUUGCUGUAACGAAAGUUCCUGGUUCGAAGGCAGAACCGGGAAAUAACAUUUCAGUUCUAGAAACAAUCGAUAUUAAAAGCAUACGAUUGCAUGGUCAAUUUUUGAAAUGCAGCGUACAUGUUCGAAGAAACAUAGGAUAUUCCAGAGUAUUCAUAAACCGUGACAAACGUGGCUUGGUAUGCCGCUUAUGUUAUGAUGUUGUGCUGAUAUCUAUAGUAAAUAUAAAUUUCAUAUGUGUUUGCAGUCAUGUAUACUAGUAUCAUGACAUAUACAUGUAGAACGUUGUUCUGUCAGAACAUGUGUAUUGCCGAUUGUAUGGCACUAACGUCUACAAAGGAAAAAGGUCAACAUGCCACUCUUUUUUUCCUAUUUUAUAAGCUCGUAUACAUAAAUUCGAAGUAUCUGAAGUAUUUGAACUGCAGUACACGUAUAUUGUAUACUAGUAUUGACUGUUAUAAUGGUGUAUUUCUCAUUCGAUUAAGGAUGUUUGCUACUCCUGUUUAUAACAUUUUGUCAGAUAUUUGAAUUACUAUAGUUUUAUCCAUGUAAUUCCAAUAAAAGUUCCACUAACUCCUACUUUUCGUUCAUAACUUUAUAACAUAUUAAAAAGCCAAUUUCGAAUAUCUUUGUUAUAAUAUUUUUCAUAGUUUUUGAGGGCUUUUUUGAGAGCUUUUAAUGAAAAUGUGUAAAAAAUCUAGUUAUAAUCAUUUCCGCCAGAUUUUUGAUUUAUUAUAUUUAAAAAAACAAGUACACGGCUUUAUUAGUACCGAAAUUAUCAACUAUCAAUUUCCAAUAGUCUUUUAAAAAGAUGGAUAUUUUUAAUUAGAGGCACAACCGGUAUCCUUAAGACACUUUCUUAUAAUUAACACAUCACGUGAGUGUAUUUAUGUUUUACCAAGUCUUUCAAGGUUUAUACUUUUAGAAGAUAAUAUUCAGCAAAACAAAAACACAUUUCACACCCAAAAAAUCGAAUAAACCCAAAUUCACUCCAUAUCUUGAACUUAAGACUAAUGUUCUGCGAGGUUAACAUUACGCACGUGUAUUUGUUGUAUAUAAAGAGGAAUUAAUUUCUCGAUUUAUCUAAAAUAAAUGCUUAAAUGUUAAUAACGUUAACAAAUUGUUGAAAACACAUUAUGUUCUGACAUUGCAGCUUCAUUUAUCAAACGUAUGCCAAAAUCUGCACAUAAAACAAAAACAGUCUGAAUGCAGAUUGCAUAACUCUAAUUUUCUUUCAACAAACUACUAGUUUUAGCAGAAGAAAAAAAAAUCAUCCAUUUGGUUUCAAAUCUAUAAAUUCUAUUUAAAAAAAGAAAGAAAUAAUUUUGUAAUGGAUGAUUUAGUGAUGAAGUGUACCCAUUCAACCUAAUUAUUGCUUUCAGGAACUCUUUACGCCAAAAUAGUUCUCAUCAUAUUAUGACGUUUCGUUGGUGAGAUGAUUUUGGAGUGGUAAAGAGGAAAGAAUGUCAGGAGAAUUUCUUUGUAAAUUACGUCAAAUUUAUGGUGAGUAAUGUUUUAAU
This 5475-nucleotide long non-coding RNA is filed under the name Mytilus galloprovincialis (Mediterranean mussel). Lineage: Eukaryota; Metazoa; Mollusca; Bivalvia; Mytilida; Mytilidae. The record is from RNAcentral.